CUCUGUUUGCUUCAUCAGACAAACCUCACACAAUGAGAAUGACCUGACAUGAAACUGUAACAUCAUACAUAUGGUGGAGGAACAGUGAAACACAAUGUGGAGUUUUUUUUUCUUCAUACUCAUCUGGUUUUCUACAACCCAAGCUGUCACUUUGACAGACUACUGUGAAGAUGUCCCCGACAAGUGUCAUGACAGGGGUGGUUCCUGGACUAGGUGUUAUGAGGGCAGGAUUACAAACUGUACAUUCAGAAGGCGU
Monopterus albus (swamp eel) is the source of this 256-nucleotide long non-coding RNA. RefSeq lists it as uncharacterized. The transcript has 3 exons. NCBI's taxonomy places the organism in Eukaryota, Metazoa, Chordata, Actinopteri, Synbranchiformes, Synbranchidae. The record is from RefSeq and is a predicted model, not a curated record.